RNAcentral lists this ribosomal RNA (460 nucleotides) under uncultured bacterium. RNAcentral describes it as "partial 16S ribosomal RNA". It matches the Rfam family "Bacterial small subunit ribosomal RNA", at positions 338 to 795 of the family's 1533-position model. The record is from RNAcentral.
CCUACGGGAGGCAGCAGUGAGGAAUAUUGGUCAAUGGACGAGAGUCUGAACCAGCCAAGUAGCGUGAAGGAUGGCUGCCCUAUGGGUUGUAAACUUCUUUUAUAUGGGAAUAAAACGUUCCACGUGUGGGAUUUUGUAUGUACCAUAUGAAUAAGGAUCGGCUAACUCCGUGCCAGCAGCCGCGGUAAUACGGAGGAUCCGAGCGUUAUCCGGAUUUAUUGGGUUUAAAGGGAGCGUAGGUGGAUUGUUAAGUCAGUUGUGAAAGUUUGCGGCUCAACCGUAAAAUUGCAGUUGAAACUGGCAGUCUUGAGUACAGUAGAGGUGGGCGGAAUUCGUGGUGUAGCGGUGAAAUGCUUAGAUAUCACGAAGAACUCCGAUUGCGAAGGCAGUUCACUGGACUGCAACUGACACUGAGGCUCGAAAGUGUGGGUAUCAAACAGGAUUAGAUACCCCGGUAGUC